GGGGCCGUAGCUCAAUCGGUCCAGAGCGCCGGCCUGUCACGCCGGAGGUUGCGGGUUCGAGUCCCGUCGGCCUCG
This 75-nucleotide transfer RNA is filed under the name Planctomycetota bacterium. Its description in RNAcentral is "Planctomycetes bacterium tRNA-Asp". It matches the Rfam family "tRNA". From Rfam's summary of the family: Transfer RNA (tRNA) molecules are approximately 80 nucleotides in length. Lineage: Bacteria; Pseudomonadati; Planctomycetota. The record is from RNAcentral.